AUUGAACGCUGGCGGCAUGCCUUACACAUGCAAGUCGAACGGUAACAGGUCUUCGGAUGCUGACGAGUGGCGAACGGGUGAGUAAUACAUCGGAACGUGCCUAGUAGUGGGGGAUAACUACUCGAAAGAGUGGCUAAUACCGCAUGAGAUCUACGGAUGAAAGCAGGGGAUCGCAAGACCUUGUGCUACUAGAGCGGCCGAUGGCAGAUUAGGUAGUUGGUGGGAUAAAAGCUUACCAAGCCGACGAUCUGUAGCUGGUCUGAGAGGACGAUCAGCCACACUGGGACUGAGACACGGCCCAGACUCCUACGGGAGGCAGCAGUGGGGAAUUUUGGACAAUGGGCGCAAGCCUGAUCCAGCAAUGCCGCGUGCAGGAUGAAGGCCUUCGGGUUGUAAACUGCCUUCGUACGGAACGAAAAGCCCUGGGUUAAUACCCUGGGGUCAUGACGGUACCGUAAGAAUAAGCACCGGCUAACUACGUGCCAGCCGCCGCCGUAA
RNAcentral lists this ribosomal RNA (498 nucleotides) under uncultured bacterium. RNAcentral's name for it is "partial 16S ribosomal RNA". It matches the Rfam family "Bacterial small subunit ribosomal RNA", at positions 30 to 523 of the family's 1533-position model. The record is from RNAcentral.